This 497-nucleotide ribosomal RNA is filed under the name uncultured bacterium. RNAcentral describes it as "partial 16S ribosomal RNA". It matches the Rfam family "Bacterial small subunit ribosomal RNA", at positions 28 to 507 of the family's 1533-position model. The record is from RNAcentral.
GAUGAACGCUGGCGGCGUGCCUAAUACAUGCAAGUCGAGCGAACGGACGAGAAGCUUGCUUCUCUGAUGUUAGCGGCGGACGGGUGAGUAACACGUGGAUAACCUACCUAUAAGACUGGGAUACCUUCGGGAAACCUUAUCUAAUACCGGAUAAUAUUUUGAACCGCAUGGUUCUACAGUGAAAGACGGUCUUGCUGUCACUUAUAGAUGUAUCCGCGCUGCAUUAGCUAGUUGGUAAGGUAACGGCUUACCAAGGCAACGAUGCAUAGCCGACCUGAGAGGGUGAUCGGCCACACUGGAACUGAGACACGGUCCAGACUCCUACGGGAGGCAGCAGUAGGGAAUCUUCCGCAAUGGGCGAAAGCCUGACGGAGCAACGCCGAGUGAGUGAUGAAGGUCUUCGGAUCGUAAAACUCUGUUAUUAGGGAAGAACAUAUGUGUAAGUAACUGUGCACAUCUUGACGGUACCUAAUCAGAAAGCCACGGCUAACUACGUG